Molecule: ribosomal RNA, 492 nt
Filed under: uncultured bacterium
Lineage: Bacteria
Description: partial 16S ribosomal RNA
Rfam family: Bacterial small subunit ribosomal RNA
Source: RNAcentral
AGUGAACGCUGGCGGUAGGCCUAACACAUGCAAGUCGAACGGCAGCACAGUAAGAGCUUGCUCUUACGGGUGGCGAGUGGCGGACGGGUGAGGAAUACAUCGGAAUCUACUUUUUCGUGGGGGAUAACGUAGGGAAACUUACGCUAAUACCGCAUACGACCUACGGGUGAAAGCAGGGGAUCUUCGGACCUUGCGCGAUUGAAUGAGCCGAUGUCGGAUUAGCUAGUUGGCGGGGUAAAGGCCCACCAAGGCGACGAUCCGUAGCUGGUCUGAGAGGAUGAUCAGCCACCCUGGAACUGAGACACGGCCCCGACUCCUACGGGAGGCAGCAGUGGGGAAUAUUGGACAAUGGGCGCAAGCCUGAUCCAGCCAUACCGCGUGGGUGAAGAAGGCCUUCGGGUUGUAAAGCCCUUUUGUUGGGAAAGAAAAGCAGCAGGUUAAUACCCCGCUGUUCUGACGGUACCCAAAGAAUAAGCACCGGCUAACUUCGUG